Molecule: unclassified non-coding RNA, 214 nt
Filed under: plant metagenome
Description: partial contains small subunit ribosomal RNA, internal transcribed spacer 1, and 5.8S ribosomal RNA
Source: RNAcentral
UUUCCGUAGGUGAACCUGCGGAAGGAUCAUUCAUAAUAAGUGUUUUAUGGCACUUUUUUAAAUCCAUAUCCACCUUGUGUGCAAUGUCAGGGUUGAUUUUUCUCUCGAGAGGAUCAGCCCCAAACAUCAACUAUAUCUCAACUCUUUGACUGAAAAAAUAUUAUGAAUAAAACAAUUCAAAAUACAACUUUCAACAACGGAUCUCUUGGCUCUC